This 256-nucleotide ribosomal RNA is filed under the name uncultured bacterium. RNAcentral describes it as "partial 16S ribosomal RNA". It matches the Rfam family "Bacterial small subunit ribosomal RNA", at positions 524 to 777 of the family's 1533-position model. The record is from RNAcentral.
GACAGAGGGUGCAAACGUUGUUCGGAAUUACUGGGCGUAAAGCGCGUGUAGGCGGCCCUGCAAGUCGGAUGUGAAAUCCCACGGCUCAACCGUGGAAGUGCAUUCGAAACUGCAGGGCUAGAGUCCUGGAGAGGAAGGUGGAAUGCUUGGUGUAGAGGUGAAAUUCGUAGAUAUCAAGCGGAACACCGGUGGCGAAGGCGGCCUUCUGGACAGUGACUGACGCUGAGACGGCGAAAGCGUGGGGAGCCAAACAGGG